This 392-nucleotide ribosomal RNA is filed under the name uncultured bacterium. RNAcentral describes it as "bacterial SSU rRNA". It matches the Rfam family "Bacterial small subunit ribosomal RNA", at positions 28 to 421 of the family's 1533-position model. The record is from RNAcentral.
GACGAACGCUGGCGGCGUGCUUAACACAUGCAAGUCGAGCGGUAAGGCCCUUUCGGGGGUACACGAGCGGCGAACGGGUGAGUAACACGUGGGUGACCUGCCCUCAGCUCUGGGAUAAGCCUGGGAAACCGGGUCUAAUACUGGAUAUGACUCCAUGACGCAUGUUGUGGGGUGGAAAGCCUUGUGCGGCUGAGGAUGGGCCCGCGGCCUAUCAGCUUGUUGGUGGGGUGANGGCCUACCAAGGCGACGACGGGUAGCCGGCCUGAGAGGGCGACCGGCCACACUGGGACUGAGACACGGCCCAGACUCCUACGGGAGGCAGCAGUGGGGAAUAUUGGACAAUGGGGGCAACCCUGAUCCAGCGACGCCGCGUGUGUGAAGAAGGCCGCGGG